UUAAAUUGAAGAGUUUGAUCAUGGCUCAGAUUGAACGCUGGCGGCAGGCUUAACACAUGCAAGUCGAACGGUAGAGGGAAGUGCUUGCACUUUUCUUGAGAGUGGCGGACGGGUGAGUAAUGCUUGGGAAUCUGGCUUAUGGAGGGGGAUAACUACGGGAAACUGUAGCUAAUACCGCGUAAUAUCUUCGG
RNAcentral lists this ribosomal RNA (191 nucleotides) under Lonepinella koalarum. Its description in RNAcentral is "partial 16S ribosomal RNA". It matches the Rfam family "Bacterial small subunit ribosomal RNA", at positions 1 to 185 of the family's 1533-position model. Lineage: Bacteria; Pseudomonadati; Pseudomonadota; Gammaproteobacteria; Pasteurellales; Pasteurellaceae. The record is from RNAcentral.